This 119-nucleotide ribosomal RNA is filed under the name Pteropus alecto (black flying fox). The record is from RNAcentral. Lineage: Eukaryota; Metazoa; Chordata; Mammalia; Chiroptera; Pteropodidae.
GUCUACGGCCAUGUCACCCUGAACAAGCUCGAUCCCGUCUGAUCUCGGAAGCUAAGCAGGGUUGGGCCUGGUUAGUACUUGGAUGGGAGACCACCUAGGAAGACCACGUGCUGUAGGUG